RNAcentral lists this ribosomal RNA (515 nucleotides) under uncultured bacterium. Its description in RNAcentral is "partial 16S ribosomal RNA". It matches the Rfam family "Bacterial small subunit ribosomal RNA", at positions 28 to 523 of the family's 1533-position model. The record is from RNAcentral.
GAUGAACGCUGGCGGCGUGCCUAAUACAUGCAAGUCGAGCGAAUGGAUUAAGAGCUUGCUCUUAUGAAGUUAGCGGCGGACGGGUGAGUAACACGUGGGUAACCUGCCCAUAAGACUGGGAUAACUCCGGGAAACCGGGGCUAAUACCGGAUAACAUUUUGAACCGCAUGGUUCGAAAUUGAAAGGCGGCUUCGGCUGUCACUUAUGGAUGGACCCGCGUCGCAUUAGCUAGUUGGUGAGGUAACGGCUCACCAAGGCAACGAUGCGUAGCCGACCUGGGAGGGUGAUCGGCCACACUGGGACUGAGACACUGCCCAGACUCCUUCGUGAGGCAGCAGUAGGGAAUCUGCCGAAAUGGACGAAAGUCUGACGGAGCAACGCCGCGUGAGUGAUGAAGGCUUUCGGGUCGUAAAACUCUGUUGUUAGGGAAGAACAAGUGCUAGUUGAAUAAGCUGACACCUUGACGGUACCUAACCAGAAAGCCACGGCUAAUUACGUGCCAGCCGCCGCCGUAA